GCAUUUUCGAUAAGGGGUACCAUCAUCAAAAAAUACUGAUUUUUUUUAUAGCACAAUAGCAUUUUGCCACAAUUAUUAGGCAGAUUACACAAAAUUAAGAGAACCAAAGCAGCUUAAACGGUAAACUGAAAGUUAAAUGAGCCAAAUGGAAGGCAGAAUUAGAUUUAAAUGUGUAAUUCGAGACGGUUAGUGCAAUUAGUCGAUUAAAUAGCAUUUUGAAUGCCCCACUAAACUACUUGUAUACGAACAAGUAAUUCAAUUAAAUAUUUGAUUGCCUUGGAUUGUACACAAAUCACUUGCCACUCGAACAUGGAAAAGUGAUACAAAUAUCUGGCCCAAUUAAGGAAAAAUCAAUAAACCGAAAUUCGUGGCCCCCAUAAAACGGGCGCUUAUUAAUGAUCAUUCACGGCGGUUUGCCCUAAUGAGGCAUGUAAUCAUAGAGUGGCAACAAUUUGGAGCAGCGAUGUGUUAACCAGCCUAAUCCAUCUCCGCCUCCUUGGCUAUCUUCCAAACUCAUGAGCUAAGUGAACUUUCGUGAUGGAUGACGCUAAUUCCGGAGGCAGGUGGCAGCAUCAUCAGGUGUACGGGUUGCUAAUCAAAAUCAACAACACCCAAAUGAACAACACACGCCUGAAACACACUCUAAGGUCCACGCCCAAUCUCUUCUGUUAAAGUUUUCAAUUUUCCGGGCAAGUUUUGAUUAUAUUUUGUUGCUUCUUAUGCCAAGCGUAAAUUGAAUCAGAACUGGAGAUUUUCCAGCAUGCAGAAAGCGGAGGGAAAGGCUUAAACGGAUUGAGGUUUCUGACAUACUCUGGCUUUGAUGUUGGGAUUUUGUGCUGGUUUUCCGACAGUAAAAUGUCUAUCCGGUUUGCUAUUAGUUUAAAGUCAUUUGCUACUAGCGUGAGGUUUUCGUUUUUGAGUGAUGUUUAAAUAUUUAGCAGCUCUGACUAAGUGAUGCAAUAAGGAUUUUGGACAGCCUGGUAAUAGUUGCCACAGUUUCGACCUUGGGCACGGCUCAGUUCGCGGUACCAGCGCGAUAUGCGAUAACAACAAAAGCGGAUCGCAUAAAUUACAGCGCUCCUCCAUUAGCAUGUAAAUGCAGCCGACAGCGCCACCUCUGCACCACCGCACCACCGAACCACUGAACCACCAGCCACGCCCCCCACUAUGCUCGGUACUGUGCCCCACGCAAAAAGUGGAUGCGACGACAGUGACAAUGCUCGUAUUUAACUCUCCACAUUGCAUAUUUUAUUUAAUUUAUUGCCGCACAUAUUUUGAUGGCAAUGCAUGUGGACGGGGCACGUGUUUCUGUUUUGGGGUCUGAAACCCCGUCAAAAACCGGGAGAACUUAGAUUGUGCUAUGUGCCAUAUAGGAAUUGGAAUUGUGUCAGUUGAACAGUUGGGCAUGGUCAUGGUGGCAUCGCAUAUGAGGCGUGUGUUGUUGUCGCUCUUGAGAUACAUUUCAAGCGGGGCAAGAAACGCAAGCCAAACUGUGGGUAAACACAGGGGUAAAAUGAAUUACAGAGGGAAAAAUUACACAUUAUACAAGAAAACUUCAAAUAUGUAUUAUAAUAUCCUAAGUAAGGCCAUAGUUCAAUUUAAUAUACGUUAGGAAUAAAAGUUUUAAAGUUA
Molecule: long non-coding RNA, 1632 nt
Organism: Drosophila yakuba
Lineage: Eukaryota; Metazoa; Arthropoda; Insecta; Diptera; Drosophilidae
Exons: 2
Source: RefSeq, a predicted model, not a curated record